AGAGUAAAAUAGUACGUGAAAUUGCUAAAAGGGAAACGAUUGAAAUCAGUGUUAUGCCUGGGAAAUCAGUCGCCAGUAUCUGGCGGUGCACUUUUCUAGGCGUAAGUCAACAUCAGUUUGGGGACAUGGAAAAAAUUUCAGGAAGGUAGCUGGCUUUCGGGCCAGUGUUAUAGCCUGGAAUUAUGCAUGGACCUGGACUGAGGACUGCAGUGCUUUCUUGGGACUUCUCGUGUUUUUUAGGCAUUGAAGUGUAUUCUGCAUGCAGAGUGCGUUUCUCUGUCUGGCUAAUGCGGGUUUGUUCACACCAGCGCUUAGGACGUUGACGAAAUGGUUUUAAACGACC
Molecule: ribosomal RNA, 343 nt
Filed under: uncultured fungus
Lineage: Eukaryota; Fungi
Description: eukaryotic LSU rRNA
Source: RNAcentral